This 252-nucleotide long non-coding RNA is filed under the name Elaeis guineensis (African oil palm). Its description in RNAcentral is "long non-coding RNA (EGUI_LNC076124)". Lineage: Eukaryota; Viridiplantae; Streptophyta; Magnoliopsida; Arecales; Arecaceae. The record is from RNAcentral.
GACCACCGCUGCAGAUUUCUGUCGUUAUGUUGGUUUAUACCUGUAUAUCACACAUUUUUGUACUACAGCUUCCACAUUUUUUUUGUAAUUUUUGUCUAUGGAACUUUGUAUGUUUCUUAAGCAUGCUGGCAGAGUUAAUACCUUGUUGGUUUGUUAAGGAUAUGUUUAUUUUCAAACAUCCUUUAUUCUGGCAAGGCUUGUUAUGAUAUGUAAUUUGCUAUAUCCUUUUUGUUGGAAAGGAUUGCCCCCAUC